This is a non-coding RNA of Leptonychotes weddellii (Weddell seal), 441 nucleotides long. The record is from RefSeq and is a predicted model, not a curated record. Lineage: Eukaryota; Metazoa; Chordata; Mammalia; Carnivora; Phocidae.
AGAGAUUGGCCGACGCCGCAGAGAACUUCCAGAAAGCCCACCGCUGGCAGGACAACAUCAAGGAGGAAGAUAUCCUGUACUACGAUGCGAAGGCCGACGCUGAGCUGGAUGACCCUGAGAGUGAGGAUGUGGAGAGGGGGUCCAAGGUCAGCACCCUCAGGCUGGACUUCGUUGAGGACUCAAACUUCAAGAACAAAGUCAACUAUUCGUACACGGCCGUGCAGAUCCCCACGGACAUCUACAAAGGCUCCACUGUCAUCCUUAAUGAACUCAACUGGACAGAGGCCCUGGAGAAUGUGUUCAUCGAGAAUCGCAGGCAGGACCCCACGCUGCUGUGGCAGGUCUUUGGAAGUGCCACGGGCGUCACUCGCUACUAUCCCGCCACCCCAUGGCGAGCCCCCAAGAAAAUCGACCUGUACGAUGUCCGAAGGAGACCCUGGU